GAUGAACGCUGGCGGCGUGCCUAAUACAUACAAGUCGAGCGAACGGACGAGAAGCUUGCUUCUCUGAUGUUAGCGGCGGACGGGUGAGUAACACGUGGAUAACCUACCUAUAAGACUGGGAUAACUUCGGGAAACCGUAGCUAAUACCGGAUAAUAUUUUGAACCGCAUGGUUCAAAAGUGAAAGACGGUCUUGCUGUCACUUAUAGAUGGAUCCGCGCUGCAUUAGCUAGUUGGUAAGGUAACGGCUUACCAAGGCAACGAUGCAUAGCCGACCUGAGAGGGUGAUCGGCCACACUGGAACUGAGACACGGUCCAGACUCCUACGGGAGGCAGCAGUAGGGAAUCUUCCGCAAUGGGCGAAAGCCUGACGGAGCAACGCCGCGUGAGUGAUGAAGGUCUUCGGAUCGUAAAACUCUGUUAUUAGGGAAGAACAUAUGUGUAAGUAACUGUGCACAUCUUGACGGUACCUAAUCAGAAAGCCACGGCUAACUACGUG
This 497-nucleotide ribosomal RNA is filed under the name uncultured bacterium. RNAcentral's name for it is "partial 16S ribosomal RNA". It matches the Rfam family "Bacterial small subunit ribosomal RNA", at positions 28 to 507 of the family's 1533-position model. The record is from RNAcentral.